Molecule: ribosomal RNA, 638 nt
Filed under: uncultured bacterium
Lineage: Bacteria
Description: bacterial SSU rRNA
Rfam family: Bacterial small subunit ribosomal RNA
Source: RNAcentral
GUUCUUUAUGACUGAGUGGCGGACGGGUGAGUAACGCGUGGGUAGCCUGCCUUGUACUGGGGGAUAGCAGCUGGAAACGGCUGGUAAUACCGCAUAAGCGCACAAUGUUGCAUGACAUGGUGUGAAAAACUCCGGUGGUAUAAGAUGGACCCGCGUCUGAUUAGCUAGUUGGUGAGAUAACAGCCCACCAAGGCGACGAUCAGUAGCCGACCUGAGAGGGUGACCGGCCACAUUGGGACUGAGACACGGCCCAGACUCCUACGGGAGGCAGCAGUGGGGAAUAUUGCACAAUGGAGGAAACUCUGAUGCAGCGACGCCGCGUGAGUGAAGAAGUAAUUCGUUAUGUAAAGCUCUAUCAGCAGGGAAGAUAGUGACGGUACCUGACUAAGAAGCUCCGGCUAAAUACGUGCCAGCAGCCGCGGUAAUACGUAUGGAGCAAGCGUUAUCCGGAUUUAUUGGGUGUAAAGGGAGUGUAGGUGGCCAUGCAAGUCAGAAGUGAAAAUCCGGGGCUCAACCCCGGAACUGCUUUUGAAACUGUAAGGCUGGAGUGCAGGAGGGGUGAGUGGAAUUCCUAGUGUAGCGGUGAAAUGCGUAGAUAUUAGGAGGAACACCAGUGGCGAAGGCGGCUUACUGGACGG